UGUUCCAUUUUCAGCCUCUACAGCCUUAUUGCCAGGAGAGCAGGAGGUGCAGGGCCCUGUCCCACUUGCUCAGGUUCCCACGCCCAGGACACGUCUCCAGGCUGCCCCACAGCUGCAGGCAGAGUCCUCAGGCCUGGGCUUGCUGCAUGAGAGGAGGCCGGGGCAUGGCACUGCCCAGCUCUGUGAG
Molecule: long non-coding RNA, 187 nt
Organism: Colius striatus (speckled mousebird)
Lineage: Eukaryota; Metazoa; Chordata; Aves; Coliiformes; Coliidae
Exons: 3
Source: RefSeq, a predicted model, not a curated record